This 24-nucleotide microRNA is filed under the name Caenorhabditis elegans. RNAcentral describes it as "cel-miR-259-3p". Its record names the gene cel-miR-259-3p. The record is from miRBase by way of RNAcentral. Lineage: Eukaryota; Metazoa; Nematoda; Chromadorea; Rhabditida; Rhabditidae.
CCACCGAUUUGGCAUGGGAUUGAC